RNAcentral lists this ribosomal RNA (2904 nucleotides) under Escherichia coli. RNAcentral describes it as "23S ribosomal RNA". It matches the Rfam family "Bacterial large subunit ribosomal RNA". The record is from RNAcentral. RNAcentral also lists the same sequence under 1 other name. Lineage: Bacteria; Pseudomonadati; Pseudomonadota; Gammaproteobacteria; Enterobacterales; Enterobacteriaceae.
GGUUAAGCGACUAAGCGUACACGGUGGAUGCCCUGGCAGUCAGAGGCGAUGAAGGACGUGCUAAUCUGCGAUAAGCGUCGGUAAGGUGAUAUGAACCGUUAUAACCGGCGAUUUCCGAAUGGGGAAACCCAGUGUGUUUCGACACACUAUCAUUAACUGAAUCCAUAGGUUAAUGAGGCGAACCGGGGGAACUGAAACAUCUAAGUACCCCGAGGAAAAGAAAUCAACCGAGAUUCCCCCAGUAGCGGCGAGCGAACGGGGAGCAGCCCAGAGCCUGAAUCAGUGUGUGUGUUAGUGGAAGCGUCUGGAAAGGCGCGCGAUACAGGGUGACAGCCCCGUACACAAAAAUGCACAUGCUGUGAGCUCGAUGAGUAGGGCGGGACACGUGGUAUCCUGUCUGAAUAUGGGGGGACCAUCCUCCAAGGCUAAAUACUCCUGACUGACCGAUAGUGAACCAGUACCGUGAGGGAAAGGCGAAAAGAACCCCGGCGAGGGGAGUGAAAAAGAACCUGAAACCGUGUACGUACAAGCAGUGGGAGCACGCUUAGGCGUGUGACUGCGUACCUUUUGUAUAAUGGGUCAGCGACUUAUAUUCUGUAGCAAGGUUAACCGAAUAGGGGAGCCGAAGGGAAACCGAGUCUUAACUGGGCGUUAAGUUGCAGGGUAUAGACCCGAAACCCGGUGAUCUAGCCAUGGGCAGGUUGAAGGUUGGGUAACACUAACUGGAGGACCGAACCGACUAAUGUUGAAAAAUUAGCGGAUGACUUGUGGCUGGGGGUGAAAGGCCAAUCAAACCGGGAGAUAGCUGGUUCUCCCCGAAAGCUAUUUAGGUAGCGCCUCGUGAAUUCAUCUCCGGGGGUAGAGCACUGUUUCGGCAAGGGGGUCAUCCCGACUUACCAACCCGAUGCAAACUGCGAAUACCGGAGAAUGUUAUCACGGGAGACACACGGCGGGUGCUAACGUCCGUCGUGAAGAGGGAAACAACCCAGACCGCCAGCUAAGGUCCCAAAGUCAUGGUUAAGUGGGAAACGAUGUGGGAAGGCCCAGACAGCCAGGAUGUUGGCUUAGAAGCAGCCAUCAUUUAAAGAAAGCGUAAUAGCUCACUGGUCGAGUCGGCCUGCGCGGAAGAUGUAACGGGGCUAAACCAUGCACCGAAGCUGCGGCAGCGACGCUGAUGCGUUGUUGGGUAGGGGAGCGUUCUGUAAGCCUGCGAAGGUGUGCUGUGAGGCAUGCUGGAGGUAUCAGAAGUGCGAAUGCUGACAUAAGUAACGAUAAAGCGGGUGAAAAGCCCGCUCGCCGGAAGACCAAGGGUUCCUGUCCAACGUUAAUCGGGGCAGGGUGAGUCGACCCCUAAGGCGAGGCCGAAAGGCGUAGUCGAUGGGAAACAGGUUAAUAUUCCUGUACUUGGUGUUACUGCGAAGGGGGGACGGAGAAGGCUAUGUUGGCCGGGCGACGGUUGUCCCGGUUUAAGCGUGUAGGCUGGUUUUCCAGGCAAAUCCGGAAAAUCAAGGCUGAGGCGUGAUGACGAGGCACUACGGUGCUGAAGCAACAAAUGCCCUGCUUCCAGGAAAAGCCUCUAAGCAUCAGGUAACAUCAAAUCGUACCCCAAACCGACACAGGUGGUCAGGUAGAGAAUACCAAGGCGCUUGAGAGAACUCGGGUGAAGGAACUAGGCAAAAUGGUGCCGUAACUUCGGGAGAAGGCACGCUGAUAUGUAGGUGAAGUCCCUCGCGGAUGGAGCUGAAAUCAGUCGAAGAUACCAGCUGGCUGCAACUGUUUAUUAAAAACACAGCACUGUGCAAACACGAAAGUGGACGUAUACGGUGUGACGCCUGCCCGGUGCCGGAAGGUUAAUUGAUGGGGUUAGCGCAAGCGAAGCUCUUGAUCGAAGCCCCGGUAAACGGCGGCCGUAACUAUAACGGUCCUAAGGUAGCGAAAUUCCUUGUCGGGUAAGUUCCGACCUGCACGAAUGGCGUAAUGAUGGCCAGGCUGUCUCCACCCGAGACUCAGUGAAAUUGAACUCGCUGUGAAGAUGCAGUGUACCCGCGGCAAGACGGAAAGACCCCGUGAACCUUUACUAUAGCUUGACACUGAACAUUGAGCCUUGAUGUGUAGGAUAGGUGGGAGGCUUUGAAGUGUGGACGCCAGUCUGCAUGGAGCCGACCUUGAAAUACCACCCUUUAAUGUUUGAUGUUCUAACGUUGACCCGUAAUCCGGGUUGCGGACAGUGUCUGGUGGGUAGUUUGACUGGGGCGGUCUCCUCCUAAAGAGUAACGGAGGAGCACGAAGGUUGGCUAAUCCUGGUCGGACAUCAGGAGGUUAGUGCAAUGGCAUAAGCCAGCUUGACUGCGAGCGUGACGGCGCGAGCAGGUGCGAAAGCAGGUCAUAGUGAUCCGGUGGUUCUGAAUGGAAGGGCCAUCGCUCAACGGAUAAAAGGUACUCCGGGGAUAACAGGCUGAUACCGCCCAAGAGUUCAUAUCGACGGCGGUGUUUGGCACCUCGAUGUCGGCUCAUCACAUCCUGGGGCUGAAGUAGGUCCCAAGGGUAUGGCUGUUCGCCAUUUAAAGUGGUACGCGAGCUGGGUUUAGAACGUCGUGAGACAGUUCGGUCCCUAUCUGCCGUGGGCGCUGGAGAACUGAGGGGGGCUGCUCCUAGUACGAGAGGACCGGAGUGGACGCAUCACUGGUGUUCGGGUUGUCAUGCCAAUGGCACUGCCCGGUAGCUAAAUGCGGAAGAGAUAAGUGCUGAAAGCAUCUAAGCACGAAACUUGCCCCGAGAUGAGUUCUCCCUGACCCUUUAAGGGUCCUGAAGGAACGUUGAAGACGACGACGUUGAUAGGCCGGGUGUGUAAGCGCAGCGAUGCGUUGAGCUAACCGGUACUAAUGAACCGUGAGGCUUAACCUU